RNAcentral lists this long non-coding RNA (305 nucleotides) under Amphimedon queenslandica. RNAcentral's name for it is "uncharacterized LOC109593079". The record is from RNAcentral. Lineage: Eukaryota; Metazoa; Porifera; Demospongiae; Haplosclerida; Niphatidae.
UUUUACAACCUGGGCCUCAGCAAGAGUGUUGGGCCAGGUUUUUUUAAUUUUUGGGCAGCAGUGUAGUGCCGCCUCCACGUGGCGCUGCCUGGGAUCACUAGUGGCUACUACUGCUAGUGAUGCUAAGAGCACUACAUACAAGAAGAAAAAUGGCAAUACUAACAGUUCAAGCUGAAAUAAAGAUGAAAUGUCAAGUGGAUUGAUACUCAAGACUGAAGCUAGAGAUUUAUAUACUAGUUUUAAUUUUUUGAAAAAUAAUUCUUUUAAAUUUUGAUUGCAUGUGUUUAUGGUGAUUUGAACUGUCA